GACGAACGCUGGCGGCGUGCUUAACACAUGCAAGUCGAACGGAAAGGCCCUGCUUUUGUGGGGUGCUCGAGUGGCGAGCGGGUGAGUAACACGUGAGUAACCUGCCCUUGACUUUGGGAUAACUUCAGGAAACUGGGGCUAAUACCGGAUAGGAGCUCCUGCUGCAUGGUGGGGGUUGGAAAGUUUCGGCGGUUGGGGAUGGACUCGCGGCUUAUCAGCUUGUUGGUGGGGUAGUGGCUUACCAAGGCUUUGACGGGUAGCCGGCCUGAGAGGGUGACCGGCCACAUUGGGACUGAGAUACGGCCCAGACUCCUACGGGAGGCAGCAGUGGGGAAUAUUGCACAAUGGGCGGAAGCCUGAUGCAGCAACGCCGCGUGCGGGAUGACGGCCUUCGGGUUGUAAACCGCUUUCGCCUGUGACGAAGCGCGAGUGACGGUAAUGGGUAAAGAAGCACCGGCUAACUACGUG
Molecule: ribosomal RNA, 468 nt
Filed under: uncultured bacterium
Lineage: Bacteria
Description: partial 16S ribosomal RNA
Rfam family: Bacterial small subunit ribosomal RNA
Source: RNAcentral